GACCUAUCAGCUUUCGACGGUAGUGUAUUGGACUACCGUGGCAGUGACGGGUAACGGGGAAUUAGGGUUCGAUUCCGGAGAGGGAGCCUGAGAAACGGCUACCACAUCUAAGGAAGGCAGCAGGCGCGCAAAUUACCCAAUCCUGACUCAGGGAGGUAGUGACAAGAAAUAACAACACUGGAAAUUUUAUUUCUAGUGAUUGGAAUGAUGGGAAUUUAAACCCCUUUCAGAGUAACAAUUGGAGGGCAAGUCUGGUGCCAGCAGCCGCGGUAAUUCCAGCUCCAAUAGCGUAUAUUAAAGUUGUUGCAGUUAAAAAGCUCGUAGUUGGAUGUCUGCUGGAAGCAAUCAGUCCGCCCUAUUUGUGGGGUGCGCACUUGAUGAAUUCUGGCAUUUUUGUCCCAAUAUUAUGAUGUAGAAUGUGGGACACAGAGUGUUAUUGGGCGAAAGUUCAAUAGCAUGUCUGUGUUCCGAUUCUUAUUAUAUUGGAAUACUGUUACUUUGAGAAAAUUAGAGUGUUUGAAGCAGGCUUUGAAUUGCCCUGAAUACUGCAGC
This 552-nucleotide ribosomal RNA is filed under the name Sarcocystis sp. Its description in RNAcentral is "SSU rRNA". It matches the Rfam family "Eukaryotic small subunit ribosomal RNA", at positions 309 to 808 of the family's 1831-position model. Lineage: Eukaryota; Apicomplexa; Conoidasida; Eucoccidiorida; Sarcocystidae. The record is from RNAcentral.